This 1528-nucleotide unclassified non-coding RNA is filed under the name Hevea brasiliensis (rubber tree). Lineage: Eukaryota; Viridiplantae; Streptophyta; Magnoliopsida; Malpighiales; Euphorbiaceae. The record is from RNAcentral.
AAGGUUUCACUUUCUUGAACAUCAUGAGGCAAUUUGCGGACAUUUUUCUUUCAGUUGAAUCACAAAAAGGGCAGCUAGAGCAUGGACUACUUGUUCUAAUUAAUUAAUGACCUUAAUGUUGAUCCUAUUUUACCAACUCAUGAAGGUUUCAUCUACUAAAUUAACGUUGAUUAUAAUCACCAUUAGCUAUGUGGAGAGCAUUUUUUAAUGUAGCUAAUGACCCAUUAAGAUGCAAGAUGAAGUGAAAAAUUGAGUACAAAAAGCAUAUAUACCAUGUCCUGUGAUGGAUCUCAUAAGUUCAUUUUUUUCAGUGGAGCUCUGAUUGGGGUUCAAACUCAUAACCUCACAAUUCUGAAGAUGAUUCUAAGUACUAUUAAGCCAAAUUCACAGAAGUUAUUUGGCUACUCUAGAACUGGAUGCUUCGGCUGUAGCCAAAAGAGCAGUUUCUUUGGCUUGUUUCUGAUUCCAUUUUUACUUUCGGCUACCUUUCUCCCUUAUACUAAUGCAUAAAAACAAAACAAAUAUCAGGUUUUCCCUUGAGAGAGAGAGAGAGAGAAUCCAAAAACAUAAUAAAUGAAAGCCAACCUAGCAUGUCAAGCAAGCAUAAAAAUUCAAGCAAUAAAAUAUUACUUUAUAGAAUCCUCAAGCCCUUUUUGUUAAUUAGGUAUGGAAUGCAUUAUGGGUUAAUGCCCUCAUACUACCUUGUUGCUCAUCAUUCACAAGAUGAAAUAGUAACUUGAGAACAUUUUUGCCCCAGCUAGAGAGGGGACCAUCCUCUUUCAUUGUCCAUACAUCUACCAUGCAAAGAAUCCACAGCUGUAUAAUGUGCUCACACCAUUUAGCAAUUAGCAAAAGAGAAAGAAAGAAAGAAGCCUCCAAAAAGGCCUAGACUAGAAUAUAUUUUCUCUCUCUCUCAAGCAUUUCCCUCUGGCACUCAACUCAAAAUCUGUGAUUUACCCACACAAUCUUUGCAUGUGAGUCAUUAAAGAUAAAGGAAAACAAAGGGCCAACUCUUUAUGUCUAUUUAAAGUCAUCCUUUUCCUUCACCUAGUCUCAACCUAAUUGCCUCUCUCAUUACAUUUCAUCAAUCUUAUCAUUUUCCAUUUCUUGAUUGCCAGAAGAUGAAGCUGUUCUCAGUUUUUGUUAUAGUCAUUCUGCUCCUUCAGGUACAUAUACAGUUGAAAAUUAAUUAUUGUAUAACAAUGCUAGAAGUACUUUAAAAUCUAAAUGUGAUUUUACACUUUGAUGUACUUUUUGCAGGUUUGUUUGGGCCAUUCAUUUCUCAGUAAUGCUGCAAAAUUUUCAGCAAAUGUGAGUCUCUUUGCUUACUACUUUUAAAUUUCUGAAAUUGGGUCCAAUGAUUCCUUUAUUUUUCACCAGUCCUGUGAGGCUAAACAAAGCUCCAAGUAGAAGGAAAAAGAAAAGAGGUGAAAUGAUUUCAAUUGGGUGUCACAUUUUGUAAUUAAAUUCCCCUUUUGGAUGCAGAUUGAUGUAGGAAGUGAUGUAAUUGCCAUUGACAAGAAACAUC